GACGAACGCUGGCGGCGUGCCUAAUACAUGCAAGUUGAGCGCUGAAGGUUGGUACUUGUACCAACUGGAUGAGCAGCGCACGGGUGAGUAACGCGUGGGGAAUCUGCCUUUGAGCGGGGGACAACAUUUGGAAACGAAUGCUAAUACCGCAUAAAAACUUUAAACACAAGUUUUAAGUUUGAAAGAUGCAAUUGCAUCACUCAAAGAUGAUCCCGCGUUGUAUUAGCUAGUUGGUGAGGUAAAGGCUCACCAAGGCGAUGAUACAUAGCCGACCUGAGAGGGUGAUCGGCCACAUUGGGACUGAGACACGGCCCAAACUCCUACGGGAGGCAGCAGUAGGGAAUCUUCGGCAAUGGACGAAAGGCUGACCGAGCAACGCCGCGGGAGUGAAGAAGGUUGUCGGAUCGUAAAACUCGGUUGGUAGAGAAGAACGUUGGUGAGAGUGGAAAGCUCAUCAAGUGACGGUAACUACACAGAAAGGGACGGCUAACUACGUG
This 497-nucleotide ribosomal RNA is filed under the name uncultured bacterium. Its description in RNAcentral is "partial 16S ribosomal RNA". It matches the Rfam family "Bacterial small subunit ribosomal RNA", at positions 28 to 507 of the family's 1533-position model. The record is from RNAcentral.